UCGCACUGAAGACCGUGUUGAAAAGUGAAAUCUAACAAGACGAGAUCAAAGCAGCGUUGUUUUGCCAGAAUUUUUACCAUCCAUCAUCAAGAUACCAAAAUGGACUAUCGAUGGACCAAUGGUAGGCAGGAAAUUGGUGGCCGUGACAGGAGACAACCUAAAAGGGAACAGGCAUAUCAGGACUCCCUUAUUGAUGAUUUGUCAGAUGAUUUUCGUUUGCCAAUUAACCACAGGCCAACCGAAAAUGUUGAUCUGGACAAUGUAGAGCAAGCGUCUCUGGACACACAGCUAGCAUCAUCUAAUAUUGGCUUUAAGCUUCUGCAAAAGAUGGGAUGGAAAGGAAAGGGUCUUGGGAAGGAUGAACAAGGAAUCAUUGAGCCAAUAAAAUCUGGGAUCAGAGAUCCAAGGCUGGGGGUUGGUAAACAAGAAGAAGAUGAUUUUUUCACUGCAGAAGAAAAUAUCCAGCGGAAAAAACUUGAUGUUGAGUUGGAGGAGACAGAGGAACACAUGAAAAAGCGGGAGGUAUGAUUUAUAAUUCAUUUAUAGCUGCUCUUAGUGCAAAGACCAUAUAGUAGUCUUGAGGUUGAUGUUUACAUUUUCUCAAACCUGCACCUCAUAGCAGAAGGCAGCAUAUAGCAUAUAUGCCUGUCUUUUGACCGGAUUGGUAUAUCAUAAGGAACCAUCAACUUUGGAAGGUCUUGAGAAUUUCCUGCAGUUUUUAUUACCUGGUGGCUUCUUCUGCCUGCUUCGUGCACAUUAUGAAAAUUCAGGUGUUAGCUGAACGUGAGCAAAAAAUUCAAACUGAAGUGAAAGAAAUCCGAAAGGUGUUUUACUGUGAUCUCUGCAACAAGCAAUACAAAUUGGCGAUGGAAUUUGAAGCACACUUGAGCUCUUAUGAUCAUAAUCACCGAAAGCGCUUCAAACAAAUGAAGGAGAUGCACGGUAGUAGUAGCCGGGAUGAUAGGCAAAAGCGAGAACAGCAGCGGCAAGAGAGAGAAAUGGCAAAGUUUGCUCAAAUUGCUGAUGCUCAAAAGCAGCAGCGGCUUCAACUGCAACACGAGUCUGGAUCGGCACCAGUUUCUGCCGAAACUAGAACUGCUACUGCACUUACAGAUCAGGAGCAGCGAAAUACUUUGAAGUUUGGGUUUUCUUCUAAAGGCAAUGCUUCUAAGAACACGAUUGGUGCCAAGAAGCAAAAUGUUGCAAAGAAGCAAAAUGUUUCGGUGUCCUCCAUAUUUAGUAAUGAUAGUGAUGAAGAAUAGCUGAACAUUACUCUUGCAGCAACAUAUGAACAUUAUCUCCUGGGUGUUUUGGUUUGCAUUAGAUGUUUUAUUUAUUUGUCACCAUGGUCAGUUUAAGGAGACAAAAAAUACAUUUGGGAUUCCGUGAUGAUUUGGAGAGUUUGGUAGACUAUAAAUAUUGCUUAUGUGACAUUGUUAUGUUUGCAAGGAUGAUCUUGACUUGAGUGCCAUGGUUAACAUCGUUAGUUCCAUCAAUAUUUGAAUUACAAAGGCUAGCCAAUGCCUAACGACAUAGAUGUGUAAUUUCUAAUAUAUUGCAGAUCAGCUUUAACUAGGUUCACC
RNA transcript from Abrus precatorius (Indian licorice), 1583 nucleotides. It is a transcript of the gene named G patch domain-containing protein 8, with no coding region annotated. The record is from RefSeq and is a predicted model, not a curated record. Lineage: Eukaryota; Viridiplantae; Streptophyta; Magnoliopsida; Fabales; Fabaceae. The transcript has 7 exons.